CCCGGGGGGCAGCAGUGGGGAAUAUUUGGCAAUGGGCGCAAGCCUGACCCAGCAACGCCGCGUGAAGGAAGAAGGCUUUCGGGUUGUAAACUUCUUUUAAGAGGGAAGAGCAGAAGACGGUACCUCUUGAAUAAGCCACGGCUAACUACGUGCCAGCAGCCGCGGUAAUACGUAGGUGGCAAGCGUUGUCCGGAUUUACUGGGUGUAAAGGGCGUGCAGCCGGGCCGACAAGUCAGAUGUGAAAUCCGCGGGCUUAACCCGCGAACUGCAUUUGAAACUAUUGGUCUUGAGUACCGGAGAGGCAGACGGAAUUCCUAGUGUAGCGGUGAAAUGCGUAGAUAUUAGGAGGAACACCAGUGGCGAAGGCGGUCUGCUGGACAGCAACUGACGCUGAGGCGCGAAAGCGUGGGGAGCAAACAGGAUUAGAUACCCGUGUAGUC
RNAcentral lists this ribosomal RNA (440 nucleotides) under uncultured bacterium. RNAcentral's name for it is "partial 16S ribosomal RNA". It matches the Rfam family "Bacterial small subunit ribosomal RNA", at positions 338 to 795 of the family's 1533-position model. The record is from RNAcentral.